RNAcentral lists this transfer RNA (71 nucleotides) under Marmota marmota marmota (Alpine marmot). It matches the Rfam family "tRNA". From Rfam's summary of the family: Transfer RNA (tRNA) molecules are approximately 80 nucleotides in length. Their secondary structure includes four short double-helical elements and three loops (D, anti-codon, and T loops). Further hydrogen bonds mediate the characteristic L-shaped molecular structure. tRNAs have two regions of fundamental functional importance: the anti-codon, which is responsible for specific mRNA codon recognition, and the 3' end, to which the tRNAs corresponding amino acid is attached (by aminoacyl-tRNA synthetases). tRNAs cope with the degeneracy of the genetic code in two manners: having more than one tRNA (with a specific anti-codon) for a particular amino acid; and 'wobble' base-pairing, i.e. permitting non-standard base-pairing at the 3rd anti-codon position. Lineage: Eukaryota; Metazoa; Chordata; Mammalia; Rodentia; Sciuridae. RNAcentral also lists the same sequence under 1 other name. The record is from Rfam by way of RNAcentral.
GGGGAGAUAGCUCAGUGGUAAAGCACCUGCCUAGCAAGCAUGAGGCCCUGAGUUCAACCCUCAUCACCACA